AGUGAACGCUGGCGGUAGGCCUAACACAUGCAAGUCGAACGGCAGCACAGUAAGAGCUUGCUCUUACGGGUGGCGAGUGGCGGACGGGUGAGGAAUACAUCGGAAUCUACUUUUUCGUGGGGGAUAACGUAGGGAAACUUACGCUAAUACCGCAUACGACCUACGGGUGAAAGCAGGGGAUCUUCGGACCUUGCGCGAUUGAAUGAGCCGAUGUCGGAUUAGCUAGUUGGCGGGGUAAAGGCCCACCAAGGCGACGAUCCGUAGCUGGUCUGAGAGGAUGAUCAGCCACACUGGAACUGAGACACGGUCCAGACUCCUACGGGAGGCAGCAGUGGGGAAUAUUGGACAAUGGGCGCAAGCCUGAUCCAGCCAUACCGCGUGGGUGAAGAAGGCCUUCGAGUUGUAAAGCCCUUUUGUUGGGAAAGAGAAGCAGCAGGUUAAUACCCCGCUGUUCUGACGGUACCCAAAGAAUAAGCACCGGCUAACUUCGUG
This 492-nucleotide ribosomal RNA is filed under the name uncultured bacterium. RNAcentral describes it as "partial 16S ribosomal RNA". It matches the Rfam family "Bacterial small subunit ribosomal RNA", at positions 29 to 507 of the family's 1533-position model. The record is from RNAcentral.